CCUACGGGAGGCAGCAGUGGGGAAUAUUGCGCAAUGGGCGAAAGCCUGACGCAGCGACGCCGCGUGAGGGAUGAAGGUCUUCGGAUCGUAAACCUCUGUCAGCAGGGAAGAACGGUCACUGUGCUAAUCAGCAGUGAAUUGACGGUACCUGCAAAGGAAGCACCGGCUAACUACGUGCCAGCAGCCGCGGUAAUACGUAGGUGGCGAGCGUUAUCCGGAAUGAUUGGGCGUAAAGGGUGCGUAGGCGGCCUGCUAAGUCUGGAGUGAAAGGUACCGGCUCAACCGGUACAGGCUCUGGAAACUGGCAGUCUUGAGUACAGUAGAGGUGGGCGGAAUUCGUGGUGUAGCGGUGAAAUGCUUAGAUAUCACGAAGAACUCCGAUUGCGAAGGCAGCUCACUGGACUGCAACUGACACUGAUGCUCGAAAGUGUGGGUAUCAAACAGGAUUAGAUACCCCGGUAGUC
RNAcentral lists this ribosomal RNA (464 nucleotides) under uncultured bacterium. Its description in RNAcentral is "partial 16S ribosomal RNA". It matches the Rfam family "Bacterial small subunit ribosomal RNA", at positions 338 to 795 of the family's 1533-position model. The record is from RNAcentral.